This is a long non-coding RNA of Culex pipiens pallens (northern house mosquito), 1120 nucleotides long. RefSeq lists it as uncharacterized. NCBI's taxonomy places the organism in Eukaryota, Metazoa, Arthropoda, Insecta, Diptera, Culicidae. The record is from RefSeq and is a predicted model, not a curated record. The transcript is spliced from 3 exons.
GAGAGACUCUUGAGAGAGAUGAGCCGAUCUUGAACUACCUCAGUGAGAGAACACCACAGCUAGACCCGAGAACACAGUUGCUAAAAAGGGAUGGGGAGUUCGCUACUUUUGUCGCACGCAGUUACCCAGAGAGCAUCUCAAGGAAUGACGUAAUUCCAGUCAAACCGAUUGAGCGUCCGUUGCGACCUUCCCUAUUCUGAGGACUCCAGGGCUCGUUCACUUUGUCCCCAGCUAUCAACGAGAGUGGAAGUGCGCUUUUUGUACCGCGAGUUUUUGGCUUUUUGUACAAAAAUUUCCCGUACAGUUAUUUUGUGUGUGCGCUAGCUAAAGUAAUUUUUCGUGUGCGAACAGGAGCUAGAAGGAGUGAAAGAGUUCGCCCGUUAGCAACAGCGCUAACCAUUCCCGCAGCAGCACCAGCCCAGCAGCAGCGCGAACACACGAGCAGCAGAAGCAGCAGAGGAAAACGGAGACGAAGUUCCCCGCGCACCGCACUUCUCGUUGUCGCCGUACGUCACCAGGCGAAGCACGAGGACGAAGAGCGUGAGCGCACGCUAGGAGGCGAUCCGUCACCACAUCGCCCCGGUGAAGAAGGGAGGGUCCCUGAACCACCACUGAAGGACAGCGGAGAUCGUUAGUCCCGGCCUGAGUCAACCAUAAGGCCGGAGCUUCCUGUCCGGUUGCCGAACGCUGACAGCCGCGGAACCGGGAAACGUCUGAACCGGCCCGAGCCACCCCGUAAGGCUGAGUCCCGCAUUCCGGUCAGCUGUUUAUCAGCUGACGGCCACGUGUCGUCCCUGAGCUGAGCAACCAGCCACCAGCAGCAGAGAACAACAGCAGCAACAAGAUCAUCAUUCGGUGAGUCCGUUCUAUUUGCACUUGUGGGAAGAAGCACGUCCCUAGCUGACGUAGCUCGAUUUUUGCCGGCCUAGUGCCGAGGCGGCAGACGCGAGUCCGCCCUUGACGGACGCGUCCAAAGUUUGAGGAGCGAACUUUAAUCCCACGGUUUCUACGCCACACGUGGAUGACCCCCAAAAUCUAAACGCGCGCGCGCGCAAUUUCGAAGCAGUAGCCGAUUUGAUCAGCUGAUUGCUGGAAGAUGGGAAGAGCACAUGAGCACGGU